RNAcentral lists this long non-coding RNA (257 nucleotides) under Lathyrus oleraceus (garden pea). RNAcentral describes it as "Pisum sativum (pea) long non-coding RNA (PSAT_LNC006855)". The record is from RNAcentral. Lineage: Eukaryota; Viridiplantae; Streptophyta; Magnoliopsida; Fabales; Fabaceae.
CCCUUCUAAAAUACCCCAAUAUUUAAUUAAAACAACAAAACAUAAUUCAGAGUAAAUAUGCAAUUAAGGGUGUCACACUUGACACUUCACACCAUUUUCCAAAUAACUGGUCAUACUCAUUUGUUUAUCAAAAUAAAACAUUGCACAAUACGCAGCGGAUAGAGAUCAAAUCAAUCAUGCAAACCAUGUAAUCACAUUACAUGUAAAACUGUUCAACAACCACAAUGAAAACAAAGUAAAACAUCCCGUCCCGAUGU